UCCUCAGCAAACCUGUAUAAAAUCUUCCAAUAAUCUAGAGGGAGCCAGACAUCAUGGGUUUUAACUGCAUUGCUGGGUGCUUGAGAUUUUGGCAUCUAUUUCUCAGACAACAGAAUGUUUGUUAAUACUAAGGAUGCCUAAUCUACUAAGUGACUUCAUAGUUUCAAGUGGGGAAAAAAACCUAAUCAAACCACUACUGGGAAUGUUUUUAUUUGUUUAGCAAGAACAAUUUUCAACUAAUAUUUCACUGCAAGACAAGACCACACAAGCAUCACUGAAGCCAUUCUUGUCAAAUGUUUCUUGGCCUGACAAAACACCUGCAGAAGAAAAUGAACAGCAGGAUAUUCUGAGGCUCUGCAAGGGGAAGUAGAAAUAGUUGCAAAAAAAAGAUGGAGAAAUAAUAUUUAAGUUUCCUUAAAAUACAACCUCAAUAAUACUGAAUAGGAGUGAAUAACUAAGAACAAUAGCACAAAAUAACAAAACUAGAAUAAAGGAACAAGAGAAAGAUGAUUUCAUGUGAGCCUAUUCAGACUAUGACUAUAAGAAACCUUCACACCAUGCCAGGUUAUUGAAAGAUAUCCUAAGAGCAGUUUGCAGCCUAAGGAAUAAAUUACUUUGUAUGUGAUUCAAG
Molecule: long non-coding RNA, 631 nt
Filed under: Marmota monax (woodchuck)
Lineage: Eukaryota; Metazoa; Chordata; Mammalia; Rodentia; Sciuridae
Source: RNAcentral